GGUGAGGUGUCGAGUGGCUGGAAGGAGCACGCUGGAAAGUGUGUAUACGGCAACGUAUCAGGGGUUCGAAUCCCCCCUCACCGCCA
This 86-nucleotide transfer RNA is filed under the name Klebsiella planticola. RNAcentral describes it as "Raoultella planticola tRNA-OTHER". The record is from RNAcentral. Lineage: Bacteria; Pseudomonadati; Pseudomonadota; Gammaproteobacteria; Enterobacterales; Enterobacteriaceae.